RNAcentral lists this ribosomal RNA (2904 nucleotides) under Escherichia coli. RNAcentral describes it as "23S ribosomal RNA". It matches the Rfam family "Bacterial large subunit ribosomal RNA". The record is from RNAcentral. Lineage: Bacteria; Pseudomonadati; Pseudomonadota; Gammaproteobacteria; Enterobacterales; Enterobacteriaceae. RNAcentral also lists the same sequence under 1 other name.
GGUUAAGCGACUAAGCGUACACGGUGGAUGCCCUGGCAGUCAGAGGCGAUGAAGGACGUGCUAAUCUGCGAUAAGCGUCGGUAAGGUGAUAUGAACCGUUAUAACCGGCGAUUUCCGAAUGGGGAAACCCAGUGUGAUUCGUCACACUAUCAUUAACUGAAUCCAUAGGUUAAUGAGGCGAACCGGGGGAACUGAAACAUCUAAGUACCCCGAGGAAAAGAAAUCAACCGAGAUUCCCCCAGUAGCGGCGAGCGAACGGGGAGCAGCCCAGAGCCUGAAUCAGUGUGUGUGUUAGUGGAAGCGUCUGGAAAGGCGCGCGAUACAGGGUGACAGCCCCGUACACAAAAAUGCACAUGCUGUGAGCUCGAUGAGUAGGGCGGGACACGUGGUAUCCUGUCUGAAUAUGGGGGGACCAUCCUCCAAGGCUAAAUACUCCUGACUGACCGAUAGUGAACCAGUACCGUGAGGGAAAGGCGAAAAGAACCCCGGCGAGGGGAGUGAAAAAGAACCUGAAACCGUGUACGUACAAGCAGUGGGAGCACGCUUAGGCGUGUGACUGCGUACCUUUUGUAUAAUGGGUCAGCGACUUAUAUUCUGUAGCAAGGUUAACCGAAUAGGGGAGCCGAAGGGAAACCGAGUCUUAACUGGGCGUUAAGUUGCAGGGUAUAGACCCGAAACCCGGUGAUCUAGCCAUGGGCAGGUUGAAGGUUGGGUAACACUAACUGGAGGACCGAACCGACUAAUGUUGAAAAAUUAGCGGAUGACUUGUGGCUGGGGGUGAAAGGCCAAUCAAACCGGGAGAUAGCUGGUUCUCCCCGAAAGCUAUUUAGGUAGCGCCUCGUGAAUUCAUCUCCGGGGGUAGAGCACUGUUUCGGCAAGGGGGUCAUCCCGACUUACCAACCCGAUGCAAACUGCGAAUACCGGAGAAUGUUAUCACGGGAGACACACGGCGGGUGCUAACGUCCGUCGUGAAGAGGGAAACAACCCAGACCGCCAGCUAAGGUCCCAAAGUCAUGGUUAAGUGGGAAACGAUGUGGGAAGGCCCAGACAGCCAGGAUGUUGGCUUAGAAGCAGCCAUCAUUUAAAGAAAGCGUAAUAGCUCACUGGUCGAGUCGGCCUGCGCGGAAGAUGUAACGGGGCUAAACCAUGCACCGAAGCUGCGGCAGCGACGCUUAUGCGUUGUUGGGUAGGGGAGCGUUCUGUAAGCCUGCGAAGGUGUGCUGUGAGGCAUGCUGGAGGUAUCAGAAGUGCGAAUGCUGACAUAAGUAACGAUAAAGCGGGUGAAAAGCCCGCUCGCCGGAAGACCAAGGGUUCCUGUCCAACGUUAAUCGGGGCAGGGUGAGUCGACCCCUAAGGCGAGGCCGAAAGGCGUAGUCGAUGGGAAACAGGUUAAUAUUCCUGUACUUGGUGUUACUGCGAAGGGGGGACGGAGAAGGCUAUGUUGGCCGGGCGACGGUUGUCCCGGUUUAAGCGUGUAGGCUGGUUUUCCAGGCAAAUCCGGAAAAUCAAGGCUGAGGCGUGAUGACGAGGCACUACGGUGCUGAAGCAACAAAUGCCCUGCUUCCAGGAAAAGCCUCUAAGCAUCAGGUAACAUCAAAUCGUACCCCAAACCGACACAGGUGGUCAGGUAGAGAAUACCAAGGCGCUUGAGAGAACUCGGGUGAAGGAACUAGGCAAAAUGGUGCCGUAACUUCGGGAGAAGGCACGCUGAUAUGUAGGUGAAGUCCCUCGCGGAUGGAGCUGAAAUCAGUCGAAGAUACCAGCUGGCUGCAACUGUUUAUUAAAAACACAGCACUGUGCAAACACGAAAGUGGACGUAUACGGUGUGACGCCUGCCCGGUGCCGGAAGGUUAAUUGAUGGGGUUAGCGCAAGCGAAGCUCUUGAUCGAAGCCCCGGUAAACGGCGGCCGUAACUAUAACGGUCCUAAGGUAGCGAAAUUCCUUGUCGGGUAAGUUCCGACCUGCACGAAUGGCGUAAUGAUGGCCAGGCUGUCUCCACCCGAGACUCAGUGAAAUUGAACUCGCUGUGAAGAUGCAGUGUACCCGCGGCAAGACGGAAAGACCCCGUGAACCUUUACUAUAGCUUGACACUGAACAUUGAGCCUUGAUGUGUAGGAUAGGUGGGAGGCUUUGAAGUGUGGACGCCAGUCUGCAUGGAGCCGACCUUGAAAUACCACCCUUUAAUGUUUGAUGUUCUAACGUGGACCCGUAAUCCGGGUUGCGGACAGUGUCUGGUGGGUAGUUUGACUGGGGCGGUCUCCUCCUAAAGAGUAACGGAGGAGCACGAAGGUUGGCUAAUCCUGGUCGGACAUCAGGAGGUUAGUGCAAUGGCAUAAGCCAGCUUGACUGCGAGCGUGACGGCGCGAGCAGGUGCGAAAGCAGGUCAUAGUGAUCCGGUGGUUCUGAAUGGAAGGGCCAUCGCUCAACGGAUAAAAGGUACUCCGGGGAUAACAGGCUGAUACCGCCCAAGAGUUCAUAUCGACGGCGGUGUUUGGCACCUCGAUGUCGGCUCAUCACAUCCUGGGGCUGAAGUAGGUCCCAAGGGUAUGGCUGUUCGCCAUUUAAAGUGGUACGCGAGCUGGGUUUAGAACGUCGUGAGACAGUUCGGUCCCUAUCUGCCGUGGGCGCUGGAGAAUUGAGGGGGGCUGCUCCUAGUACGAGAGGACCGGAGUGGACGCAUCACUGGUGUUCGGGUUGUCAUGCCAAUGGCACUGCCCGGUAGCUAAAUGCGGAAGAGAUAAGUGCUGAAAGCAUCUAAGCACGAAACUUGCCCCGAGAUGAGUUCUCCCUGACUCCUUGAGAGUCCUGAAGGAACGUUGAAGACGACGACGUUGAUAGGCCGGGUGUGUAAGCGCAGCGAUGCGUUGAGCUAACCGGUACUAAUGAACCGUGAGGCUUAACCUU